GACGAACGCUGGCGGCGUGCUUAACACAUGCAAGUCGAGCGGUAAGGCCCUUUCGGGGGUACACGAGCGGCGAACGGGUGAGUAACACGUGGGUGACCUGCCCUCAGCUCUGGGAUAAGCCUGGGAAACUGGGUCUAAUACUGGAUAUGACUCCACGGUGCAUGUCGUGGGGUGGAAAGCCUUGUGCGGCUGAGGAUGGGCCCGCGGCCUAUCAGCUUGUUGGUGGGGGAUGGCCUACCAAGGCGACGACGGGUAGCCGGCCUGAGAGGGCGACCGGCCACACUGGGACUGAGACACGGCCCAGACUCCUACGGGAGGCAGCAGUGGGGAAUCUUGCGCAAUGGGCGAAAGCCUGACGCAGCGACGCCGCGUGA
This 374-nucleotide ribosomal RNA is filed under the name uncultured bacterium. RNAcentral describes it as "bacterial SSU rRNA". It matches the Rfam family "Bacterial small subunit ribosomal RNA", at positions 28 to 404 of the family's 1533-position model. The record is from RNAcentral.